RNAcentral lists this non-coding RNA (25 nucleotides) under Cricetulus griseus (Chinese hamster). The record is from RNAcentral. Lineage: Eukaryota; Metazoa; Chordata; Mammalia; Rodentia; Cricetidae.
CUCAGCACUUGGGAGGUAGAGACAG